CUGGGCCCUGUACCAGAAGGGUGUAGGAUCUCAGCAGGGCUCUGGCACCUCAGUCAGUGUUGCUUCUGGCCAGAGCUUUGGGUCGACUCAAGGCUUCAGUUCCCAGGCUGCCUCUAGGCUUGGUGGUAGUGGGUCUGUGAGCCCAGAGUAUCAGCUUAGCUCAGGUUUAAGUGUGAGCCCUGGAACAGGUUGGCUCAAGAAGUCCUUGCAGCAUUUCAUCCCAGGGAACUAAUUGUCCAGCUCGGAAUUGAUGGUUCUGCUCCUUUGGGUCCGAACUUGGAAGCUCUUCCUCUGACUUGUGUACUUGGCUUCAAAUAAAUGGCUUAAUGAACU
Paramormyrops kingsleyae is the source of this 333-nucleotide non-coding RNA. The record is from RefSeq and is a predicted model, not a curated record. Lineage: Eukaryota; Metazoa; Chordata; Actinopteri; Osteoglossiformes; Mormyridae.